This 279-nucleotide ribosomal RNA is filed under the name uncultured bacterium. RNAcentral's name for it is "partial 16S ribosomal RNA". It matches the Rfam family "Bacterial small subunit ribosomal RNA", at positions 506 to 784 of the family's 1533-position model. The record is from RNAcentral.
UGCCAGCAGCCGCGGUAAUACGAAGGGACCUAGCGUAGUUCGGAAUUAUUGGGUUUAAAGGGUCCGCAGGCUGUUUUUUAAGUCAGAGGUGAAAUCCUGCAGCUCAACUGUAGAAUUGCCUUUGAUACUGAAAGACUUGAGUUAUUGUGAAGUGGUUAGAAUGUGUGGUGUAGCGGUGAAAUGCAUAGAUAUCACACAGAAUACCAAUUGCGAAGGCAGAUCACUAACAAUUAACUGACGCUCAGGGACGAAAGCGUGGGUAGCGAACAGGAUUAGAUA